GGGGUCCCAGCAGGUGUCUCAUCCAUGAGAAAAUCCACAGGGGGCUGGAGGUGCGGCUCAGUGGUGAGCGCUUGCCUAGCAUGCACCAGGCCCCGGGCCAUGCCCUGCACAAGGAAGAAGAGAGGAAAGGAGAGAGACUCGGAAGGGCUUAGCAAUGAAUAAAUAAAAGCAAUUUUUUUCCAGUCCUGGGGACUGACCUACAUCUCCAGCCCUUUAAACUGUUUUGCGUCUUGCCAAGUCGCUAAGUUGCCCAGGCGGGGUCCGAAGUUAGGGUCUUCAGGCCUCAGGCUCCCUUCGUGCCGAGGUGACCGCGGCGCCGCGCCGCACGCAGCUCCAGUGCCUGUUUCUGUAGUUUCAUGGGCACCCAGCCCUAAAACUUCGUUCACCUCACAGCUGCUUUUCCAUUGUGAUGGCAGAGUGACCAGGGCAACAGCCUCUACUGCACGCUGGACCCCUGAACUCACGGACUGCAGGCCACGCUCCAGGCCGCUCGGGCUGCUCUGUGCACGCCUGGACGCCCAGGAUCCCAGCCCACGCGCCUCCGGGCGCUCUCCCCUGCUCCAAGCUGUGCAGGGAGCACUGCAGCUGCCCAGCGCACUUCUGCAAACACGUGUCGGUCAACCUCUGUGGACACACGGGCGACCUCCGCCACGCCCCUGGUGUUACCCAAGCAGUCUCACCCCCAUUGGGGCGCAGCCCGCACCAGCAGCAGCUCCUGCUCCUUAGCCACGGCAAUCUGUAUCUUCACCUGCUCCACGACGAGUCCCAGGUCAGGUUUUCCGGCGCCGAAGCCACCCUUCCCGGCUCCAAAGCCAACCCUGCUGCCGCCGCGCCAGGUCCAACCCCCCAGUCGUCAGAAGCUGGGUCGCCCGGAGCACCACGGGAAGUGUAGUCCAAGCUGCGACUCUCGCAAGGCCCCGCGCGUCAGUCACACAGCUGGCAGGAAGCCGCCUGGCCCAAGUACAGUGGGCGAGUCCAGAAUAUAAACCCACAAAGCCCUGCCGGGCUCCUUGCGCAGGCGCAAUAGAUAUACCCGGUGCAACUCGGGGAUUUUGGCAUCUAGGCCCCACCCCGCGUCUGGCAAACUCGCCCAUGCGCACAAGGAGACGACGAAUUUCCACCCUUGCGGACUAUAGAAAAAGGGCGGCAGGGAGGCGGGGCAGCGGAGAGCACGAAUAUUAGUGUCCCGGUUUUGACAGCAACUAAACAAGCACCGAUUAAAAUCGAAGUGUUUAUUGGAGUGUUGUACAAAAGUUUCCAGUCUUAAAAUGUAUAUUACAAAUCAAGGAAAAAAAAUACCACACAUUUGGCAUGCAUUUAAAAAACCCCAAACAAAACCCCCAAAGCAAGACUCCCCGGCCCAGCGCCCUCAGCCCCAUGUCCAUUGCAGGCCGGGCGGGUGCUGUCCACACAGGAACGUCCCGACUGGAGCUUUAGUGUAAAUGGAGUCGGGAAGGGUUAAAACGAGCUAUGGAAGCAGGUACGCGCCAGGACCCAGCGGGAAGGGCCUGGGAAGCGCGCUCUAAGGGGCGUCAAGCUAAGCACACCGGGGCAGGCACAUGGCCCCGAAACCGACACAAGUACCCGAAGCUUGGUGACCGACGACCACCCACCUCCAACACUAGCCGCCCGCCUGGCCCCCACCUCCUCCAAGCAAGGACACCCAGGGAGCCCAAAAGGGGGUGACAGGCCCGGGUAGAGGAGGCUG
Molecule: long non-coding RNA, 1708 nt
Organism: Chinchilla lanigera (long-tailed chinchilla)
Lineage: Eukaryota; Metazoa; Chordata; Mammalia; Rodentia; Chinchillidae
Source: Ensembl